AUAGUAAGUCCUCAAUAAGUUCUAGCAAUUAUUAAAAAAGGAAAGGCUGUCUGCAAACAGGUACAUCCCAGCCUUCUUGCACAUAGAAACACUACACAGCACUUCAGCUGUAUGUUUGGGGGCCAUUUUAAACAGCAAAAUCAUCAACAGGAAGCAGAAAAUUGUAAAAAUUGUGGCACUAAAUAGACCAUGUAAAGGACACAUGUUUGCAAUAAGAAAGCUGAAACAAGAAGGGGGAGUGUCACCUUAUUUGAUCCAGCUAGAAACUCAGGUGCUGGUAUUCCAGCAACACUCAGGCGGCUGCUCCAGGAGGCUGCAGAGGGGUCCUUUUUAGCCGUCAACAAAACUGGCUAUGGUCACGCCCAUUGGGAAACUCAUUGCUGCCUUCAAGUUAGGUUCUGUCAAUAGAAGAUACUAAAGAAAGAAAGCCAGGAGAAGAAAAGGGACUUCUUUCUUCAAGGUCUAAGCUGUUCUAAUAGCAUUAUUCUGGGAAUGGCAUCUUCCACUCCUCCUAGUACAAAGAACCUGCUUCCUCAUACCCCGUCAAGGAACUGCAGCAUCCAGUCCCAUUGUUUCAGGUCAGAAGUGAACAGACAGUGGGUGAGACAUGAAGCUCUAGCCAGAAAGGGCUAAUGUGAUGGCCACAGUGGCAGAACCUAGGAAGCCAAGAAGAAACCAGAGAAUGGAGACACAUGGCAGCAAUGGCAAGUCAUCAGACCCAGGAUUUCCCAAAGAACACUGGUCCAGGAAGAUGCUCUGUGAAAAAGUGUUCCCUGGUCGGAGAAAUUUGUGAAACACUUUGCAUAAUACUUAAAAGAAUGUAUGGCACAUCAAAGGUAAUAUGCAAUAAAAGAAUUCAUUUUUUUAAAA
Molecule: long non-coding RNA, 870 nt
Filed under: Homo sapiens (human)
Lineage: Eukaryota; Metazoa; Chordata; Mammalia; Primates; Hominidae
Description: long intergenic non-protein coding RNA 1905
Source: RNAcentral